UCGAGGAUCUUCGGCAAUGGGCGAAAGCCUGACCGAGCGACGCCGCGUGUGCGAUGAAGGCCUUCGGGUUGUAAAGCACUGUCGAGGGAGAGAAAAGGGUAACCUUGAUCGAUCUCUGGAGGAAGCACGGGCUAAGUUCGUGCCAGCAGCCGCGGUAAGACGAACCGUGCGAACGUUGUUCGGAAUCAUUGGGCUUAAAGGGCGCGUAGGCGGGCUGACAAGUCAGGGGUGAAAGCCCACGGCUCAACCGUGGAAGUGCCUUUGAUACUGCCAGUCUGGAGGGAGGUAGGGGCGUGCGGAACUUCCGGUGGAGCGGUGAAAUGCGUAGAUAUCGGAAGGAACACCGGUGGCGAAAGCGGCGCGCUGGACCUCUUCUGACGCUGAGGCGCGAAAGCCAGGGGAGCGAACGGGAUUAGAUACCCGCGUAGUCC
RNAcentral lists this ribosomal RNA (431 nucleotides) under uncultured bacterium. RNAcentral describes it as "bacterial SSU rRNA". It matches the Rfam family "Bacterial small subunit ribosomal RNA", at positions 355 to 796 of the family's 1533-position model. The record is from RNAcentral.